This 64-nucleotide transfer RNA is filed under the name Entiminae sp. GENSP01. Its description in RNAcentral is "tRNA-His". Lineage: Eukaryota; Metazoa; Arthropoda; Insecta; Coleoptera; Curculionidae. The record is from RNAcentral.
AUUUAAAUAGUUUAAUUAAAACAUUAAUUUGUGGAAUUAAAAAUAUGGCUAUCCAUUUUAAAUA